This 24-nucleotide non-coding RNA is filed under the name Arabidopsis thaliana (thale cress). The record is from RNAcentral. Lineage: Eukaryota; Viridiplantae; Streptophyta; Magnoliopsida; Brassicales; Brassicaceae.
GUGACCUCCCGGGAAGUCCUCGUG